RNAcentral lists this ribosomal RNA (497 nucleotides) under uncultured bacterium. Its description in RNAcentral is "partial 16S ribosomal RNA". It matches the Rfam family "Bacterial small subunit ribosomal RNA", at positions 28 to 507 of the family's 1533-position model. The record is from RNAcentral.
GAUGAACGCUGGCGGCGUGCCUAAUACAUGCAAGUCGAGCGGACAGAUAAGGAGCUUGCUCCUUUGACGUUAGCGGCGGACGGGUGUGUAACACGUGGGUAACCUCCCUAUAAGACUGGUAUAACUCCGGGAAACCGGGUCUAAUGCCGGAUAACAUUUAGAACCGCAUGGUUCUAAAGUGAAAGAUGGCUUUGCUAUCACUUAUAGAUGGACCCGCGCCGUAUUAGCUAGUUGGUAAGGUAACGGCUUACCAAGGCAACGAUACGUAGCCGACCUGAGAGGGUGAUCGGCCACACUGGAACUGAGACGCGGUCCAGACUCCUACGGGAGGCAGCAGUAGGGAAUCUUCCGCAAUGGGCGAAAGCCUGACGGAGCAACGCCGCGUGAGUGAUGAAGGUCUUCGGAUCGUAAAACUCUGUUAUUAGGGAAGAACAAAUGUGUAAGUAACUGUGCACGUCUUGACGGUACCUAAUCAGAAAGCCACGGCUAACUACGUG